AGUGAACGCUGGCGGUAGGCCUAACACAUGCAAGUCGAACGGCAGCACAGUAAGAGCUUGCUCUUACGGGUGGCGAGUGGCGGACGGGUGAGGAAUACAUCGGAAUCUACUUUUUCGUGGGGGAUAACGUAGGGAAACUUACGCUAAUACCGCAUACGACCUACGGGUGAAAGCAGGGGAUCUUCGGACCUUGCGCGAUUGAAUGAGCCGAUGUCGGAUUAGCUAGUUGGCGGGGUAAAGGCCCACCAAGGCGACGAUCCGUAGCUGGUCUGAGAGGAGGGCGGGGCACACGGGAACAGAGACACAGUCAAGACGCCGACGGGAGGCAGCCGUAGGGACGGUUCGGGAAUGGGCGAAAGGCAGACGGCGCAACGCGGCGAGAGGGAUGAAGGCCGUCGGAGCGGAAAACUCUGUGAUGAGGGAAGAAGAAAGGGGUAAGUAACUAUGCACGCCUGGACGGUACCUAAGCAGAAAGCCACGGCGAACUCCGUG
RNAcentral lists this ribosomal RNA (492 nucleotides) under uncultured bacterium. RNAcentral's name for it is "partial 16S ribosomal RNA". It matches the Rfam family "Bacterial small subunit ribosomal RNA", at positions 30 to 507 of the family's 1533-position model. The record is from RNAcentral.